AUUGAACGCUGGCGGCAUGCCUUACACAUGCAAGUCGAACGGCAGCACGGGUGCUUGCACCUGGUGGCGAGUGGCGAACGGGUGAGUAAUACAUCGGAACGUACCUUAGCGUGGGGGAUAACGCAGCGAAAGCUGUGCUAAUCCCGCAUACGCCCUGAGGGGGAAAGCGGGGGACCGCAAGACCCCGCGCGAUUAGAGCGGCCGAUGCCUGAUUAGCUUGUUUGUGGGGUAAAAGCCCACCAAGGCGACGAUCAGUAGCUGGUCUGAGAGGACGAUCAGCCACACUGGGACUGAGACACGGCCCAGACUCCUACGGGAGGCAGCAGUGGGGAAUUUUGGACAAUGGGGGCAACCCUGAUCCAGCAAUGCCGCGUGAGUGAAGAAGGCCUUCGGGUUGUAAAGCUCUUUUGUCAGGGAAGAAACACCGGCUCUAACACAGUCUGGGAAUGACGGUACCUGAAGAAUAAGCACCGGCUAACUACGUGCCAGCCGCCGCCGUAA
This 501-nucleotide ribosomal RNA is filed under the name uncultured bacterium. RNAcentral's name for it is "partial 16S ribosomal RNA". It matches the Rfam family "Bacterial small subunit ribosomal RNA", at positions 29 to 523 of the family's 1533-position model. The record is from RNAcentral.